UACGGGGGGGGCAAGCGUUGUUCGGAAUUACUGGGCGUAAAGGGUUUGUAGGUGGCUUGUUAAGUCAGACGUGAAAUCCCUCAGCUUAACUGGGGAACUGCGUCUGAUACUGGCGAGCUUGAGUGCAGGAGAGGAACGCGGAAUUCCAGGUGUAGCGGUGAAAUGCGUAGAUAUGUGGAGGAACACCGAUGGCGAAGGCAGCCCCCUGGGUUAACACUGACGCUCAUGCACGAAAGCGUGGGGAGCAAACAGG
Molecule: ribosomal RNA, 253 nt
Filed under: uncultured bacterium
Lineage: Bacteria
Description: partial 16S ribosomal RNA
Rfam family: Bacterial small subunit ribosomal RNA
Source: RNAcentral